GAUGAACGCUGGCGGCGUGCCUAACACAUGCAAGUCGAGCGAACAGAUGAGGAGCUUGCUCCUUUGACGUUAGCGGCGGACGGGCGAGUAACACGUGGAUAACCUACCUAUAAGACUGGGAUAACUUCGGGAAACCGGAGCCAAUACCGGAUAAUACAUCGAACCGCAUGGUUCAAUAGUGAAAGACGCCUUUCCCGUCACUUAGAGAUGGAUCCGCGCCGCAUUAGCUAGUUGGUAAGGUAACGGCUUACCAAGGCAACGAUGCGUAGCCGAUCUGAGAGGGUGAUCGGCCACACUGGAACUGAGACACGGUCCAGACUCCUACGGGAGGCAGCAGUAGGGAAUCUUCCACAAUGGGCGAAAGCCUGACGGAGCAAUACCGCGUGAGUGAUGAAGGUCUUCGGGUCGUAAAGCUCUGUUAUUAGGAAAGAACAAAUGUAUAAGUAACUAUGCACGUCUUGACGGUACCUAAACAGAAAGCCACGGCUAACUUCGUG
RNAcentral lists this ribosomal RNA (497 nucleotides) under uncultured bacterium. RNAcentral describes it as "partial 16S ribosomal RNA". It matches the Rfam family "Bacterial small subunit ribosomal RNA", at positions 28 to 507 of the family's 1533-position model. The record is from RNAcentral.